UUUGCUACAGAGGCAUUGCAGGUGUGGCUGCUCUUUCCCAUGCGUGUCAGUAAGCGGCAGAAAGGACAGAGGCUAUGUCUAUGUUCAAUGUUCUGACCUGCAAACAGAGGAAUGAUUAGCAGCCUAAAUG
Rattus norvegicus (Norway rat) is the source of this 130-nucleotide small nucleolar RNA. Ensembl annotates it as small nucleolar RNA SNORA17. Lineage: Eukaryota; Metazoa; Chordata; Mammalia; Rodentia; Muridae. The record is from Ensembl.